UCUCAACGAGGAAGGAUGCUCCUAUCAAGAAACCCUCAGUCAAUAAAAGGAAACUCAGCUCAGGUCGAGGAGAAAUCGACUUUCUCAAAGUAACGAGAAGUUCGGGUCUCCAAGCUCGAGCAUCGGGAGGAAGCGUCAAACUCAAAUGGCCCCGAAAAGACCUACGGUCAUGAACCAAAAAGGCAAACCAACACGGCAG
RNAcentral lists this long non-coding RNA (199 nucleotides) under Elaeis guineensis (African oil palm). RNAcentral's name for it is "long non-coding RNA (EGUI_LNC070786)". Lineage: Eukaryota; Viridiplantae; Streptophyta; Magnoliopsida; Arecales; Arecaceae. The record is from RNAcentral.